RNAcentral lists this long non-coding RNA (885 nucleotides) under Apteryx rowi (Okarito brown kiwi). RNAcentral describes it as "lncRNA (ENSARWG00000001958.1)". The record is from RNAcentral. Lineage: Eukaryota; Metazoa; Chordata; Aves; Apterygiformes; Apterygidae.
CUCCCCGCCCGUUUUCCGCGGCUACAGGUGACGUCAGCGCCCUGCGGCCCACCCUCUUCCGCCGGCGUAACACAUGCGUGGUAAGAGAGGGAGUUUGUCUCUUGGCCAAAUUUUCUCCUUCCUACCUGUGUGAUUGCAAGCACAAUCUGAAGACAGCUGUGGAUUGGAAGAGGAUCUUGCAUCAAUUGCCAGGGCUGGGAAUAUGAGUGGCUGCCUGAGAGGGUGCAUGUCCUGGAAAUAAGGAGCUCAGUGUAACAGUGUGAAAGUUGUGAAGUGCCGAAAGCCUAGAUCUUGCUUGAUUAAUGUAGCCUUUGAGAUUCUCAGCUUCUUGGCAGUGUGUCCCUAAAGAUUCUCUUUCUUCUCCAAGAUACAGAGGAGUAAACAGGGGAAGGGAGGAGAGUCCUGCUAAUACUGUUGAAGUGCAAGUAGGAGGCUGUGGAACAGCGGGAACAUCUGGUUUUCAAGUUUCAGUAACUGAAGUAACACAUUCUCAAGAAGUCAAGCUCCAAGGGGCUGCUGGGUGUAAAUAUAUCCUGAAGAUUAGUAUUUAUAAUGUUGAGAUUUGGGCAGCAUCUCAUCAAGCCCUCUGUGGUCUUCCUGAAGACGGAGCUCUCCUUUGCUCUUGUGAACCGGAAGCCAGUCGUCCCAGGGCGUAUCCUUUCAACCAGAGCCUCAAUCAUGAGCGCGUAUGGGCCGUUCAGCGUUCUGUGGAAAAGUGGGAGAUACUCUGCACGUUCUGAAGGCCAGUAAGAUUGCAUACACUCUUUGAAAAUGCCCAUAGGAUAAGCUUGAAGCACGGUAUACCUGCAGCCAUUUCAGAUCACUUCAGGGAACUGUUCUACAAGACUUCUGGAAGAAGAACCCUAGUCCCUUCUGUGGAAUGAG